This 395-nucleotide ribosomal RNA is filed under the name uncultured bacterium. RNAcentral's name for it is "bacterial SSU rRNA". It matches the Rfam family "Bacterial small subunit ribosomal RNA", at positions 505 to 898 of the family's 1533-position model. The record is from RNAcentral.
GUGUCAGCAGCCGCGGUAAGACAGAGGGUGCAAACGUUGUUCGGAAUUACUGGGCGUAAAGCGCGUGUAGGCGGUCUCGCAAGUCGGAUGUGAAAGCCCAGGGCUCAACCCUGGAAGUGCACUCGAUACUGCGAGGCUAGAGUCCCGGAGAGGAUGGUGGAACUCUCGGUGUAGAGGUGAAAUUCGUAGAUAUCGAGAAGAACACCGGUGGCGAAGGCGGCCAUCUGGACGGUGACUGACGCUGAGACGCGAAAGCGUGGGGAGCAAACAGGAUUAGAUACCCUGGUAGUCCACGCCGUAAACGAUGGGUGCUAGGUGUCACGGGUAUUGACCCCUGUGGUGCCGAAGCUAACGCAUUAAGCACCCCGCCUGGGAAGUACGGCCGCAAGGCUAAA